GGGAGGCAGCAGUGGGGAAUCUUGCACAAUGGGGGAAACCCUGAUGCAGCGACGCCGCGUGAGCGAUGAAGCCCUUCGGGGUGUAAAGCUCUUUCGGCAGGGACGAUUAUGACGGUACCUGCAGAAGAAGCUGCGGCUAACUACGUGCCAGCAGCCGCGGUAAUACGUAGGCAGCAAGCGUUGUUCGGAAUUACUGGGCGUAAAGAGUGCGUAGGCGGUUGGCUAAGUUUGGUGUGAAAUCUCCCGGCUCAACUGGGAGGGUGCGCCGAGGACUGGCCGGCUAGAGUGUGGGAGAGGAAAGCGGAAUUCCUGGUGUAGCGGUGAAAUGCGUAGAUAUCAGGAGGAACACCGGUGGUGUAGACGGCUUUCUGGACCACUACUGACGCUGAGGCACGAAAGCGUGGGGAGCAAACAGGAUUAGAUACCCUGGU
RNAcentral lists this ribosomal RNA (431 nucleotides) under uncultured bacterium. RNAcentral's name for it is "bacterial SSU rRNA". It matches the Rfam family "Bacterial small subunit ribosomal RNA", at positions 343 to 791 of the family's 1533-position model. The record is from RNAcentral.